UGGUCAAGUUAUUAAGGGUGCAGGGCGGAUGCCUUGGCACUAGGAGCCGAUGAAGGACGUGAUAAGCUGCGAUAAGCUUCGGGGAGUUGCACGUAAACUUUGAUCCGAAGAUUUCCGAAUGAGGAAACUCACUUAGAGUAAUGUCUAAGUAUCAUUAAGUGAAUACAUAGCUUAAUGAGGGGAACUCAGGGAACUGAAACAUCUAAGUACCUGAAGGAAGAGAAAGAAAUUCGAUUCCGUAAGUAGCGGCGAGCGAACGCGGAUUAGCCCAAACCAAUAAAGUUUUCUUUAUUGGGGUUGCGGACAUAUCAUAACGAAGAGGUAUCGUAAUUGAAGAGGUUUGGAAAGACCCACCACAGAAGGUAAUAGUCCUGUAUGUUAAACGAGAAGACUUUAGAUAUGAUCCAGAGUACCACGGGACACGUGAAACCCUGUGGGAAGCAGGAGGGACCACCCUCCAAGGCUAAAUACUACCUAGUGACCGAUAGCGUAUAGUACCGUGAGGGAAAGGUGAAAAGAACCCCGGGAGGGGGAGUGAAAUAGAACCUGAAACCCUGCACUUACAAGCUGUGGAAGCACAUUUCUUGUGUGACCGCGUACUUUUUUGUAGAACGGGCCAACGAGUUACGUUAAGUAGCAAGGUUAAGCACUUAAGGUGCGGAGCCGUAGCGAAAGCGAGUUUUAACUGAGCGUUCAGUUACUUGACGUAGACCCGAAACCGGGCGACCUACCCAUGAGCAGGAUGAAGCGAAAGUAAAAUUUCGUGGAGGUCCGAACCCACGAGCGUUGAAAAGCUCGGGGAUGACUUGUGGGUAGCGGUGAAAUUCCAAUCGAGCCCGGAGAUAGCUGGUUCUCCCCGAAAUAGCUUUAGGGCUAGCCUCAAGGUGAGAGAUACGGAGGUAGAGCACUGAAUGUCCUAGGGGGUAUUGCACCUACCGAAGACUAUCAAACUCCGAAUGCCGUCAUCUUAUACUUGGGAGUCAGACUGUGGGUGAUAAGAUUCAUAGUCGAAAGGGCAACAGCCCAGAUCGUCAGCUAAGGUCCCUAAAUGUAAGUUAAGUGGUAAAGGAUGUGGGAUUGCACAGACAACCAGGAUGUUGGCUUAGAAGCAGCCACUCAUUCAAAGAGUGCGUAAUAGCUCACUGGUCGAGUGAUCCUGCGCCGAAGAUUUCCGGGGCUAAAACUUACUACCGAAGCUACGGCAUCAGUAAUGAUGGGUAGGGGAGCUUCCCAUACGGGUUGAAGCAUGACCGUAAGGACAUGUGGACAGUAUGGGAGUGAGAAUGUUGGCAUGAGUAGCGAGAUGUGGGUGAGAAUCCCACAGGCCGUAAACCCAAGGUUUCCAGGGGAAGGUUCGUCCGCCCUGGGUUAGUCGGGACCUAAGCUGAGGCCGAAAGGCGUAGGUGAUGGACAACAGGUUGAUAUUCCUGUACUACCGAUAACCGUUUGAGAGAUGGGAUGACACAGUAGGAUAAGCUAAGCACACUGUUGGUUAUGUGUGCCCAAGCAUUGAGGCAGUCAAAGUAGGCAAAUCCGCUUUGAUAAUGCUGGGAUGUGAUGGGGAGCGAAAUUUAGUAGCGAAGUAGCUGAUUUCACACUGUCAAGAAAAGUCUCUAUCGAGGUUAAAGGUACCCGUACCGCAAACCGACACAGGUGGGUGAGGAGAGUAUCCUAAGGCCAGCGAGAGAACUGUUGUUAAGGAACUCGGCAAAAUGACCCCGUAACUUAGGGAUAAGGGGUGCCACCAUCAGGUGGCCGCAGAGAAUAGGCCCAAGCGACUGUUUACCAAAAACAUAGGUUUCUGCUAAGUCGCAAGACGAUGUAUAGGAGCUGACGCCUGCCCGGUGCUGGAAGGUUAAGGGGAUCUGUUAGAGCAAUCGAAGCAGUGAACUUAAGCCCCAGUAAACGGCGGCCGUAACUAUAACGGUCCUAAGGUAGCGAAAUUCCUUGUCGGGUAAGUUCCGACCCGCACGAAAGGCGUAACGAUUUGGGCACUGUCUCAACAACAGACUCGGUGAAAUUGUAAUUCCGGUGAAGAUGCCGGAUACCUGCGACAGGACGGAAAGACCCCAUGGAGCUUUACUGUAGCUUGACAUUGGGUCUUGGUACUACAUGUACAGGAUAGGUGGGAGGCUUUGAAACCAGGACGCCAGUUUUGGCGGAGCCAUCCUUGGGAUACCACCCUUGUAGUACUGGGACUCUAACCAUAGGCCAUGAAUCUGGUCUUGGGACACUGUCAGGUGGGCAGUUUGACUGGGGCGGUCGCCUCCCAAAAGGUAACGGAGGCGCUCAAAGGUUCUCUCAGUACGGUCGGAAAUCGUACGUAGAGUGUAAAGGCAAAAGAGAGCUUGAUUGCAAGACAUACAGGUCGAGCAAGGAUGAAAAUCGGACUUAGUGAUCCGGUGGUUCUGCGUGGAAGGGCCAUCGCUCAACGGAUAAAAGCUACCCUGGGGAUAACAGGCUUAUCUCCCCCAAGAGUCCACAUCGACGGGGAGGUUUGGCACCUCGAUGUCGGCUCAUCACAUCCUGGGGCUGUAGUAGGUCCCAAGGGUUGGGCUGUUCGCCCAUUAAAGUGGUACGCGAGCUGGGUUCAGAACGUCGUGAGACAGUUCGGUCCCUAUCCGUCGCAGGCGUAGGAAAUUUGAGAAGACCUGUCCUUAGUACGAGAGGACCGGGAUGGACGUACCUCUGGUGUACCAGUUGUCCUGCCAAGGGCAUGGCUGGGUAGCUAUGUACGGAAUGGAUAAGCGCUGAAAGCAUCUAAGCGCGAAGCCAACUUCAAGAUAAGAUUUCCCACCGCAAGGGUAAGACCCCAGAAAGACUAUCUGGUUGAUAGGUCGAAGGUGUAAGUGCAGCAAUGUAUUUAGCUUAUCGAUACUAAUAGGUCGAGGACUUGACCAAU
RNAcentral lists this ribosomal RNA (2902 nucleotides) under Clostridioides difficile. Its description in RNAcentral is "23S ribosomal RNA". It matches the Rfam family "Bacterial large subunit ribosomal RNA". The record is from RNAcentral. Lineage: Bacteria; Bacillati; Bacillota; Clostridia; Peptostreptococcales; Peptostreptococcaceae.